This 377-nucleotide ribosomal RNA is filed under the name Scytodes sp. 9 YFL-2022a. RNAcentral describes it as "partial large subunit ribosomal RNA". It matches the Rfam family "Archaeal large subunit ribosomal RNA", at positions 2025 to 2673 of the family's 2987-position model. Lineage: Eukaryota; Metazoa; Arthropoda; Arachnida; Araneae; Scytodidae. The record is from RNAcentral.
GUACUAAGGUAGCAUAAUAACUAGCCUUUUAAUUAAAGGAUGGAAUGAAAGAACCAACGAGCUAAAGCCUCAUCCUUUAUAACAAUAAAAAAAUUAUCAGUAAGGUAAAAAGACCUUAAUACAAUAGGAAGACGACAAGACCCCGAUGAACUUUAACAAUAUGUUUAGCUGGGGCAGUAACAAAAUAAAACCUUAAUAACAACUACUAUUAUAAAGAAAUAUACAAGUCUAAAACAAGUUACCACAGGGAUAACAGCACUAUUCCUUUCAAGAGCACUAAUCCAAGAAGGAGUUUGUGACCUCGAUGUUGAAUUACCUAUAAUAUAUGGGCAACCCCAUACCACAAUGGUCUGUUCGACCAAAAACAGGUACAUGAU